GGGGGGGCAAGCGUUGUUCGGAUUUAUUGGGCGUAAAGGGCGCGUAGGCGGUCCGGCCAGUCUCUCGUGAAAUCCCAUGGCUUAACCAUGGAAUUGCGGGGGAUACUGCCAGACUUGAGUCCGGGAGAGGAGAGUGGAAUUCCCAGUGUAGCGGUGAAAUGCGUAGAUAUUGGGAGGAACACCGGUGGCGAAGGCGGCUCUCUGGACCGGUACUGACGCUGAGGCGCGAAAGCUAGGGGAGCAAACGGGAUUAGAUACCCCGGGUAGUCCUAGCCGUAAACGAUGAGCACUUGGUGUGGCGGGUAUCGACCCCCCUGCUGUGCCGAAGCUAACGCAUUAAGUGCUCCGCCUGGGGGAGUACGGUCGCAAGGCUG
Molecule: ribosomal RNA, 374 nt
Filed under: uncultured organism
Description: partial 16S ribosomal RNA
Rfam family: Bacterial small subunit ribosomal RNA
Source: RNAcentral